Pogona vitticeps (central bearded dragon) is the source of this 544-nucleotide non-coding RNA. The record is from RefSeq and is a predicted model, not a curated record. NCBI's taxonomy places the organism in Eukaryota, Metazoa, Chordata, Lepidosauria, Squamata, Agamidae.
UUACCACCUAGGUUCUAUCAAUGACAUUGAGUGGAACAGUGAAGAGCUUGGUGUACAAAAGUCUGCAAUACGAAGAUCCUAUUCUAUCCCUGAGAUGGAAGACUGUGAAGAAAAUGAGAGCCCAUUGCUCAUACCAGAACUAGAUUUGAAAGAACCCAAGUUAGCGACAACGCCUGAAUCAGCAUUGACUCCAGCGAAAUGGUGUCCCGGUAGAUGCAAGGAGAAGUGUGCAGAAGGCGAGAGACGUGGACCAAGAGUGAUCUGCCAAGUUCAUACCUAUAUCUACUGUUGUAGAAAAGGAACAUGAGAGAAGACUGUAUGUAAGAGUGAACAUCCCAGGUGAAUACACACGGAGCGUGAAAAAUCUGCCAUUUCAAGCAGGACUCAAGAUGGUUGGGGAUUAAGAUCCGGAGAAGAAAUAAAACAAUCAAACAAUUAAAAUAUUUUUAUAGAAGGAGAGACUGUGCUAUUUCCAUUUCGGCUGCUAGAUCAGAGAAAGAUGUGACACCGGGGGGUGUGGGAUUAGUAAACUGGGACUACUGGA